CAGUAGCCACGGGAAUACGAAGGGGGCUAGCGUUGCUCGGAAUUACUGGGCGUAAAGGGCGCGUAGGCGGACAGUUCAGUCGGGGGUGAAAGCCCGGGGCUCAACCUCGUAAUUGCCUUCGAUACUGGCUGUCUUGAGUAUGAGAGAGGUGUGUGGAACUCCGAGUGUAGAGGUGAAAUUCGUAGAUAUUCGGAAGAACACCAGUGGCGAAGGCGACACACUGGCUCAUUACUGACGCUGAGGCGCGAAAGCGUGGGGAGCAAAUGGGAUUAGAUACCCGCGUAGUCCCUGUCUCUUAUAC
RNAcentral lists this ribosomal RNA (301 nucleotides) under uncultured bacterium. RNAcentral's name for it is "partial 16S ribosomal RNA". It matches the Rfam family "Bacterial small subunit ribosomal RNA", at positions 509 to 807 of the family's 1533-position model. The record is from RNAcentral.